Molecule: ribosomal RNA, 568 nt
Filed under: uncultured bacterium
Lineage: Bacteria
Description: bacterial SSU rRNA
Rfam family: Bacterial small subunit ribosomal RNA
Source: RNAcentral
CCUACGGGAGGCAGCAGUGGGGAAUAUUGCACAAUGGGCGAAAGCCUGAUGCAGCAACGCCGCGUGAGGGACGACGGCCUUCGGGUUGUAAACCUCUUUUAGUAGGGAAGAAGCGAAAGUGACGGUACCUGCAGAAAAAGCACCGGCUAACUACGUGCCAGCAGCCGCGGUAAUACGUAGGGUGCAAGCGUUAUCCGGAAUUAUUGGGCGUAAAGAGCUCGUAGGCGGUUUGUCGCGUCUGCUGUGAAAACUGGGGGCUCAACCCCCAGCCUGCAGUGGGUACGGGCAGACUAGAGUGCGGUAGGGGAGAUUGGAAUUCCUGGUGUAGCGGUGGAAUGCGCAGAUAUCAGGAGGAACACCGAUGGCGAAGGCAGAUCUCUGGGCCGUAACUGACGCUGAGGAGCGAAAGCAUGGGGAGCGAACAGGAUUAGAUACCCUGGUAGUCCAUGCCGUAAACGUUGGGAACUAGAUGUAGGGACCAUUCCACGGUUUCUGUGUCGCAGCUAACGCAUUAAGUUCCCCGCCUGGGGAGUACGGCCGCAAGGCUAAAACUCAAAUGAAUUGACGG